Long non-coding RNA from Vicia villosa (hairy vetch), 2321 nucleotides. RefSeq lists it as uncharacterized. The record is from RefSeq and is a predicted model, not a curated record. The transcript is spliced from 4 exons. Lineage: Eukaryota; Viridiplantae; Streptophyta; Magnoliopsida; Fabales; Fabaceae.
UUUAAUAGUAUUCUAUCAACUCAGAUGUCUCGUUCUCACCCUCACUAUCGAACUCUGAGUUGUAAAUCACAUUCAACUUCACAAACUGAGAACUCUAACUCACCCUCGAUUUCACGAAAUCAAAAGUCACGAACCGAGUACUCAAACUUACCCCUCGCCAUCACAAUCUCAAACCUUGUCGAUUUCACCUCCGUCAAUUUCACCCCGUCGAUUUCACCUCCGUCAAUUUCACCCCGUCGAUUUCACCCCGUCGAUUUCACCAUUGUCAAUUUCACCCUCACCUUUUCAUCCUGCACUCUUCUCUGCAAAUCGAGGGUUAGGGUUUCAACUAUGACUUUGAUUUUCAAAAUCUUCUCGCGAAACCCUUAUUUGUGAGAACCAUUGACCUAUUUUUCAAGAACCCCAGAUAUUGAUGAUCACCUCGCGUCGGAGGAAACUUCGAGGAUCCUUUGCCUUUUUACCCCGCCCGAAGAGACAUCAAUGAUACAUCAAUGAAAGAUAAGUUGUUUUUUCGAACGUACAUUAAUUUUGAACAAAAUCCUGGUAAAUUAGAAGUUAUAAAUUCCUUCAUCAGUUUUGAUAUUAUAUGAAUAUGGCAGGGUUAUUCACGAUUUAUGUUUGGCUUAUGCUCUUGACGUACUUGUCAAUAUUGUUUAUGAAUUUGUCUAUGAGAUGAUCUUCUUUUAUGGUUAAGCCAGAGGGAUUGUAACUCGUCGACAUUCUAUCCAUGACGGCUAUGAUCCCGGUAACCAAACCCGUAUUUGUACGGGGUAGAGAGGAGAUUCAAUAAUACUGAGCCUUGUUGGGUUUGACAAAACAGGGGUUUAUGAGUCGGAUAAACCAUUAGGGCAGUCUUAGCAUCAAAUAGACUUACUCUUCCUAGAGAAAACAGAAAUCCAGUACCAGGCAAGAUUCAAAGAUCAUGGUCAUAUCUUGAUCACAAUAGCUGUUACUCAGAUAAGUGUAUCCUUUCCUUUAUAUCAAUAUAAUAGGCUGGAGUGACAUGUUGGAUGUUUAGGUUAAUCGAUACCGGCAAAAGGGGAAAGAAGUGACCAAACUACCGAUGUCGAGGUCGCUGUGAUAACAUGUUUAUAGGGAUAGAAAUCUGAUGUAAUUCGCAAGCCUUCAGGUUGCAGAGCCACCGUGACUUUAAUGUAUUUGUUGUUCCUGAACUUGGCUAUUUUGUAACACAAGAUGUUUACUUAUUUCUGUUUAUUAUGGUAACGUUUUAGUUGAUCAAGCAGAUCAGCAGUAUUCCUUUCCAAUUACUGCUUGUUCCUGUCAUGAUUGCAAUGGAGCUGCCGAGAAAAUGGAUGGAAAUGACGACGCGGAGUCUUUCGAUGAAAGUCAAAUGAUUAGAGAUUGUGAUCAGAUGAUUAUGUAUUUAAAUUGAAUUAAUAGCUGUUUUGUGUAUUUAAAUUGAAUUAGUAGAUGUGUUUUUAAUUUAAUGCCUCCCCAAUGUAAUAAUUAGUAAUGAUUUUGGUAUAUCAGAAUUGAACUCUGUUGAUUCAGUGGGGCAAAGAUCUACCCAGCAAGAGGCAUCAUAUUUAUUCAUCGUGAUUCACAUGUCAUAUAAUUCUGACAUGUAUUGAGUUAUGGGUUUACUCAUUUAUUUAUUAAAAUAUUUGUGUUGUGUUUGAUAAUAUUUGUUUAAUUUUAGUUUUAUUGAUAUAUAAUCUCUUUGUUGAUUUUGCAGGAAUUUCUAUUUGUGAACUCGAAAUGUAAGAGGUAUUCCCACAACCGUUUGAAGCCUUAGAAGCUCACAUGGACUGCCAUGUACAUAAAGCAGCACAAGAAGUUUUAUGAAUGUGAUGUGCACGAUAUUGCCCAAGAGGCUGUGAAGAAGAGGCAAAUGUGCCACCAAGAAGCCAUACUCUAGGUCCAUGGUUGGUGUUGCCCUGGAAGUCAUUCAGAAUAAAAGAGUUGAGAAGCUUGAAGUUCGAGAUACAGCCAGAGAAGAUGCUAUCCGGUGUGGUUCUUAUAUAUGCACCUGGUUGUCAUUAAAGAUGCAUACAAAACUAAAGCAAGGCUAAGUGAGCUUUUUUAAUCAAACAUAAAUGCCGGAAGUACGAAAAUGCUUGACAAAACCAACCUUAUUUAUGACCAGAGAUUGGAAUCACUUGCUAAUGGUAAACGUUCGUCUUAGUCUAGCUAUCGAGUUGCAGAUAAUGGAACUUCAAGAGGCACAAAUGAACUUUCUUAUGUAUUUUUGACAUAAUGAUACUUAUUAUUAUAAUAUUAGGAUUUGAUAUGUUUUUCGGUUUUUUAUACUACAUGAUAUGAUUAUGGAAUUCGCAUUUUAGAUGAUUAUGAAUUUUUUU